AUCGCCUCCAUCACGUUCCUUCCCUGGCCGCCCCUCCCUGGAUCAACCCCUCGCGAUGCCGCCGCUCUCUCUCCCUCUUACCGCGAUGCGGCGCCGCCCCCAUCUGCCGCUCCGCCGCCGCCGCCACCUCCCUCCCCCUGGCUUCCCCUAUCUCCCCCCUUAGCCACCUCCACCCCCACCCUUCCUCUCCAUUGCCGGAUCCGGUUACAGAUCAUCAAGGUUAGGCGAGGGAGCUCCAUGUCCAUGGCGCACGCGUGCUCAUCAAGGAAGCGGCUCCCGGAUCUUGAUCGCGCGGCCGUGACGGAGGGGAUCGAGGUGGACGCCGCCGCCGCUGAAGACCAAGCCCCCACCUUGUCCAGAAUCACUUCCGCCGUCGUGUUCCACCAUGGAAGGAGGAGGCGGCUCAAAGUCUCCCUCGCUGCCGGCUCCAGAUGCAGCUGUCGCCAUGGGACAAAGAGGAGAUAAAAGGAGUAUUGGAAAGCUUAAAACCAGCCCCACAAAACCACUCUGCCUGGAGAAAGAAGACAAUAUUUGGCAUGAUCUGUUUCAUCUACUAUAGCUUCAUAAAAGUGUCUGAGUGUUGACGUUGGCUCGCCAAGCCUAUCAAGCCUGUCCAACAUUGUCUGAGAUAGUUUGGGCAUAUUCAACACAGGCCUCUUGAAGCUCUCAUGCGUAGCGGAUGGCUAAAGCGUGCUGAUACUGUCAAGAGAGGUCGGGGUAGACCGAACUUGACAUGAGAGGAGUCCGUAAAGAGAGAUAUGAAGGACUGGUGUACCCUCAAAGAACUAGCCCUGGACAGGGGUGCGUGGAAGCUUGCCAUCCAUGUGCCAGAACCAUGAGUUAGAUGCAUUAUCUUAUGGGUUUCACCUCCAGCCUACUCCAACUUGUUUGAGACUAAAGGCUUUGUUAUUAUUAUUGUUAUUGUUACAUUUCUGUCCUUUCUAGGAGGAUUUCAAUUGUUUUCCCAAUUUUCCUUCCACCAUUUUGUAACCCUCUGCAGAACCGUCUGGGGAGGUUCGCAACAUUGUCUACUCAUCUGAUGGGAAAUCGGUAUCUGUUAUCUAUCAUGUGGUUAUGGAACUGAUACAGAUGUACCCUUCUUUGCCCUGGGAGUUAAUUGUGGUUCAGUUUGCA
Triticum dicoccoides is the source of this 1134-nucleotide long non-coding RNA. RefSeq lists it as uncharacterized. Lineage: Eukaryota; Viridiplantae; Streptophyta; Magnoliopsida; Poales; Poaceae. The record is from RefSeq and is a predicted model, not a curated record. The transcript is spliced from 3 exons.